CUUCCAGGCGCCGCCGCUCCCUCGCUCGGCCGCGCUGUCCCGCAGCUCCGAAGUUUCCUGCGCCCCGUGUGGGGCGGUGAAGCCUUUUCCAAACCCACUCCCGGCCCUCCGCGCCCUCAGGGGUGGUCCGGGACACCCUGGCCCCGUCCCUCCACGCUGUCGGGGUGGCCCGGGGCCCGCCAGGACCCCCCGGUCCCUCGGUGCGCGGCUCCGCUCGCCCGCCGCCCUUGCUUCCCGAAGGAACUGUUGCACGCCGAGAUCCAGCCGGGAAGUUGGGCGGCGGCUCAAAAUAGCUCCGGUGUCGGCGUUCCGUGCCCGGCGCCAGGCAGGGUCCGGAUUUACCGGCGCUGAGCUGCCGGAGGCUGGGAACAAAGCAGGUAGACGCCUCCGGGAUCAUGGCGCGGCCGCUGUCCCGGCGCCCUCGAGGUGUUCCCGGGGCUCUGGGGAAGCCGAGCCGCUGGAACGCGCUCAGUGCCGGCCGGUCCGCCCGCCCUUUGUGUCCCCAAGUGCUCCGCGGCCACCGCGGGGUCCCCGCAGGCGCCUCAGCCCCGGGCUGCCCUCGCCUCCAUGUCCAAGCCAGGAAUUUUCACUUUCCAAGUUAAAGCCAGCGCCACUUUUAGUUCCCGAGGCCCCGGGGAGGUUUCCGUGGCGUGAAGGAGCUAUCGAUAUUCUUUGUCGUGGCUCAGGUUCUGUGAAAAAACGUUGCUAAAAAUAUUUUUAAACACUGGCAUUUAUUCGUGAAGAUCCAUCGUAGUGGCACUGUGGAUUUGGGAGGGUGUCUCUCCGGGGUAGAUGGCUCGGUGGGUCGGGAACGCGUUCUUUUAUGAUCGUGUGGCAAAACAAUUCCUGCCUUGGAGUGGAAACCUCGAGUACUCGAGAUAGAGCUUGAUUUACAGCGUUGUAAAACGAGUGUCGAUCUGUGCUUUCCCGGCUGUGCUUAGUGGUAAUGGUCUGUCGUUUGGUUUUUUCUUGGUGGAAUUUAAGGUGGGAUAUCACAUUACCAAGCCUAACUCAGGAGUUUUCUGUCUGUAGUCCCUGAGCGCUCAGUAAUCCACAAAAGGUUAAUCGAGGAAAUCAAGGUUAUUGCUCGUAGGUUUCUACCGAUUACAGAGAGGGGGGUGUGUGUGUGCAGUGCACAAGUCCCUUGGAAAGAAAUGUUGAGUCCUAAAAUAAAAAGAUUAAAAACUAACGAUCUAUCUGCUUUUGAUUUUGGUUAUGUCUCAAGCUGUGUUUGGCCAAGCCUUAGCUGAGGAUUGUUCUAACUUUUAGUGAUCAAUCCUUCUUUUUGUCUGCUCCAGUUGGAGCAGAAAGGCUCAAUGUUAAAAUUAGGACUAUGGUGUGCAGAUUCUGAAGAACUGCCUUUUUUUUUGAAGAAGACUAUUGCUGUUUUUUUUUCUUCUACUUUUAUGUGGUUGUGUCUCUGAGAGUUGAAGUACGAAGAUUUGAACAGUAGAAAUCAUCUUCCCAGACUUACCAAGAUGUCUUUUCUGGAUUCUGCUCCAAUAAAAUGCACAUAACUUUGGUUAAAAACAGAACUUUGAUGCCUUGGUUAAGGUCUCAUAUUUACUGUUCUUCUUGUCACCUAAACAAGUUCAUUUGCUUGAGAGCCUUGAAAGAAUAGAAUCUAGCAAAGCUUUCCCACUGAAUUGAUGUUGAGAUCUGCAUUGGUGGUGGCAAGACAUGCUCAGUCCUUACUGACUCCUGCUUUUCACCAAGGGGUUGGCACAGGAUGUGCUUGUCUUGUGGAGCUGCUGCACUUUUACCCCAAAUGGCAUUUAUGGCCUUAAUAAACCCACUGAUUGGGCUGCUAGUCGGGUGUGGUUGUUCAAGUGCAGAUUUCCCAGAAAAGAGGUCUGUUGUUGUGCCUUCUUCUGUGCAGGGCAGUGUAGGUGUGGGUCUUUUCUCUUUCAGACUUUAGCAGCUCUGUGUAGGAGCUUUGUUCUCUGACCCACUAGUCAAGACUGCAGUGAUCAGCUGGGUGCCACUGGUUGUUGGUCACUGCUGGUCUGAUCUGCGUGGGAAGUAAGGCCUCUUGCUAUUUAUAAUUUAUUUUUUUUAGUAGUGUUUCAACAGUCUGUCAGAAAAAAAUGGAGGACAGGAAUUUCAUUGUAACUUAGGAAUAGUAUUGGGAGACUCGAGGCAUUGUCCAUGUGCAUUUUUUUGUUUUUUGUUUGGGCAAAUUAUUUUUUGCAAAUUUGUCUAAACAGUUAUGUAUUCAGAUACAAAAUGAAGUAGUUUAUAUAUCUCUUCUUUGCUUGCUGCACUUUUUCAGCCACCAAAUCAAAGGAAAAGUAUUUUAGCAAGUCCAUGACUAACAAUGCAGUUGGGAGGAAGAUGUGUCUGUGUGGAUGGUACUUGUUUAUUGAGCCCUUCGCUGGGAUGGUUGUGUUGUGCUACAGUGUGAAAUAUCAGAAAUAUCGACAGUGACCAUGUUUUGAAGUUAGGCAUCUAAGAACUAAUUGUUGUUUCCUAUUUACUCAGUGUUUUAGUUUCAUGUGAACUGGCAAUCAAGUGGCACUCUAUAAAUAGCCUCUCCCAGCUUCUGAAGACAGCUGCUCCAGGAAGGAUCUGUGUAAUGUACCCUUCCAUGCAGAUAGCUCACCCCUGGAAUUUAUUUUGGAAUUUAUUUUGCCUUGCAAAAACUCUGUCUGAUUUUGCAAGAUCUCUAAAUAAUUGCUCUGAAGCCCAGUCAGUUCUGGACAGAGUUCCAGAGAAACAGCUCAUGAAGAUGGGGCUGUAGGUGCAUCCCUGGGAUAUGUCCUUCAGAUGUUAUCCUUUGGUGAGAGCUCCUGCUGUGAUGAGAGAAGGAAGAUGUGGGUCUCAGCAAUGUAUCUGUUAGCUACGUUUCCUUCAGCAUUUGUUGGCUAAUUAGGCUCAAUUUCAGACAGCUCUUGUAUUUGAGGUCUCCAGAGGAAGGCGGGCCUGGGGGAGGCUGUCAGCAACUCUCUUUAGUUCAGUUUAGGCAUCCUCUUAGCCUGGCACUGGUGGGAGGAGCCCUGCUGCUGGAUCCCAGAUGGAAACUGAGUUUCAGACUGCUUUCAGUAGCGUGUGGUGGGGCUUUUACCCUGAAAAACAUUGGUACAAACUGUAGGAUCCAAGUUAAAUUCUGCCUUGAAGCUGGCAAGUGUAAUUACUCAGGAUACUUUCACUGGAAUCUCCAAAUCUUGCAAUUUUGUAUCAUUGUGGCAAUGUUUCAGCUUGGAGUGAACAAACCUGUUCUGGUGGCAGGUAAAGUGUUCUGUGCCAGCACAAUAAAGGCCUCUGUGUGGAUUAAAUAUAGCAUAUAAUGAUCUGGCUAGAGAAAUGGCAGCAUGGGUUUCUUGCAAGAGAGAGGAAUCCAUAAUUCCUCUGAAGUAUUUAAUGUGAUGGGUUUAUUUGCUUUUCUGUGAAGGCUCCUGCUGCCAAGAAUGGCUCUGUUUAGACAGCAGGAAGAAUGAAGACUUUUCCUUUUUAUUUUUAUUUGUUUUGGGGUUUUUGUUUGAGUGGUUUAUUUUUGCUGUCUGACAUAGCAGGCUAUCCAAAGAAAAGUCUCUCAGUUUAAAAGAAGAACUGAUGCUGUAUUUUAACUCAGAGUGGUUGUUGGAAGCUGUGGUGCUUCAUACAGUGGAAGCAAAUAUCAAAAUAAUCAGCUCUUUCCAAUCUCUGAUAUCUUCGUGCAGAUACUAUUUCCUGAAAUCUUCAUUCCUUCUUUUUCUUUUAAGUUCAGCAUAUAUCUUAAAGAUAGCAUUGUGGUGCUUUCCCAUGAGCUCUCACUCCUCCUUAAAAGAUUGUUUCAUAUCUUUCUAAGUUUUUAUCAUCCUGGUUUUUAAGAUAUGGGAAAAGUUUGAUGUCUGUAAAAAACUCACUGCAAGGAAACCAGUAGUUAGAUUCAUUGUGAUAGAAUUUUGUAAAGCUUCAGCAGUCCUUAGUAAAAAGAGAUCUGUGAAUAUUUGUAUGUAGGGAGAACUCACCAAAUCACUUAGGUUUCAAUAGUUCCCCCUCUUUAUAGGGAUGAACCUCAGUAACCCCAGAGCUAAUUACAGUUUUGAAGUUAGUUGAUUGGCCUGCUCAUAAGUAGGGUUGAAAACCAGGCAAGAAUAGCUGUUAUAACUGAUUAGUUUGGAUACUGACUGCCUUCCAUUCAUGUCAGUUUAUAAAACUAGUAGUGGCUGGUUGAAUGAAGAUAGAAUUGGAUGUUGCUGUUGAACAUUUGGUAUUUCCUAAAAUACAUUGCCCAGAGUGUGAGAGUGCAAUUAAAAUACUUCCUUAAAAUACUGUAAACUUUCAUUCUCUCUUUUGCUUUUGCUUGGUCAAACAAACCAAACAAACCCAGCAGAAGGGAAACUUGAAUGCUGGGGAGAACAACCAAAAAGAAAGGCAUUAUUUUCCCCAGUUUUUGCUCCAGCUAUAUUUUAACAUGUGGUAUCUCGGUCUUUGAAAAUAAUGCAGAGUAAGAAGGGUCAGAGAGCUUUAACAUGAUCAGCUUUGUAGCUGGUGCUCUUGUGGACUUGGAGAUGGGCAGAGUAUUUAAUCAGCCUUUCUUCUUAAAUUCUUUGCAUUAUACUUUUGAUGUUUAGUUUUUGGUUUUUUGUUUUUGUGAGUUUUUUGUUUUUGUUUUUUGGGAUUUUUUGUUGUUGUUGUGGUGGUUGUUGUUGUUUUUGUUUUUUGUACACUGUUAUAUUUCAUGUCCUAAACCUCUGGAAUUAAUUUUCUUUUCCACCAUGAGUUAAAACCACUCAUCUGUCACAGCUAAACUCCAGAUCUGGUAGAGGUGUUUUAUGUUAUUUCUUCUUCAAGUCUAACAGGUUAACUGCUGCUUGAAAAAGAAGCAUUAUAAAUGUACCUGAUGGUCUGAUUAUGAGAGCACAGUUCUGUAGUGAUAUAUUCUAUUACACUUCAAAUACUGUGUGAAACUUUACUAAUUGAAGUGUAUAGAACGAUGUAAGUGAACUCCUCAGAUUUUUUUUGUUACAAGUUAUUUCUGAAUAAUAGAAAUAGGCAGAGGCAGAAUUCAAGUUCACUGUGUAAUGAAUGACUUGGAGGAAAACACAUCUGUAGAACAAUUUUUACAUGCUCAGUCUAAUAUUGGAAGGAGGCAGGAAACGUUAGGAAGGCAGGAAAUUUGGUGUAGUCAUUGGAUCUUCACUGGUUGUGUAGAAAAGCUUAAGAUGCCUGAGAGCAUUGCAGAAAAGAGAUGUAACUUUUUAAUUGAAAAAUCCACAAGAGAGGACAGUGAUCAGGUAUUGCCUUAAACUGGAUGUCUUUGGAGUUUUUCCCCCUUGUUAAUAAAAUCAAGGCUUAGUGACUACAGUCCUAAAAAAAAUUACAGAUGGGCUAAUGAAAGAACAAUGUGGCAUUGAGACCUGUUGAUAACAAAUUGAAUUUGGAGGAGUUUAAUCAAGAGACUGUGUCUGAAAUGAAUUCCCUGAUACUAUCUCAUUUUAGUUGGUACCAAGGAGCAGAAAGGCACUAUAUGUAUGUCUAAAACAGCUUGUAGGAAAAGAUAUGAGGGGUGAUCCUAGCAUACAGGAUUAAUGACUUCUUUUUUUUUUCCUACUUCAAAGUAAAUCAGCUCAUAUAAUAAAGACACCCAUUUUAAUGCCUUUAAUGUUGGUAAAGGAUAGUAAAAGCACAGUGUGACAGAAUCAUCUGGACAAAACAACAAAAAAUGCUGGCUGGUAAUAAUUUAGUAGAUAUCAGAAAACCAGAAAGAGAUGUGAGCCGGGAGGAAGAAUUAAGGUUAGAUGAGUAUUUCUGUGGCCUGAGUGCUGAAUGUUUAGCUUUAAUUUCAGUUUAAUCAGCCUUCUGUUAUCUUUGGGCUUAUUUCAAGCAUAGACUAACUGAGCUAUGGGAGUGAAGAACAGGAGACAAUUGGACCUGCAAGGGGUACAGCCAUGUAGCAUUAAUCUAGGUAAUUUGACAACUUUUUUUGCUGUUAUCUUAGAAAUCUUCACACGUGGUUGAUAUCAUUGACCUUUUUUCAAUUACAUCUUCCUGUGUGUUUUGUGGUUUAAUUGAUAUAGUUUGUUACUGCUUCUUUCUCUACAGUGUUGUCCCAUUUUACUUCCAUUCAGUGAUGACGUGUUGAUGAUAAUUUUUGUGUAUUUUCUUUAAAAAAAAAGGAAAAAUUACAUGCAGGGUCUGGUAUUAUUUGGUGCCUUCUGUCACUCUGUCCUAAAAUAAGAGAAUUAUUUCCAGUGGCUGUUUUUAGGAUGCUGGGGAUUCAUAGUAGCACAGCUUCUGGUUUUUAUGUACAAACAAACGCCAGUUUGUGUGAAACUGUAGGCCCUUAUGGGUCACAUUAUUAUGUUCUUUGGUGGGAUUACUUUGCAGAAACCUGCUUUUUGGGUUUUGUUUUUUCUUUUUUAAAUUUUUAAAAAAUUAUUAUACUACUGCCUAGAUCAGAACUUAUCAAUGAACCUAGUUACUGAGUUUUUAUGUUUUAAUUUUCUAAACCACCAGCUGUUUUGCUGCUGUUGCAUUUUGACAUAUGAAUUAAAAUGGAAGGUGGAUUUCUGGCAUUAUAUUUGGCCAGAAAGAAAUGAUGAAAAAUUGGUAUAACUGUUUCAGGCUGUUGAUUUUCUGUCCUUCAGAAAUUCAGGAGGCCUUUCCAGUUGUCUGCAGAUUUGUCAUAAUUUCUUCAAAUGGACAGAACUAUGCAGAUGUACUUUUUUGAUUUUAAGGGAUUAACCUUAUGUGUCAUAUCUGUGAUUAACAGAACAUUAAUCAUGGGUGUUAAUGGCUGCCAGGUAGUAGGAGUGUGUGUAAGUGGGUUGUAGUCCCAAGGCUUUGCAUGUAUUAUAAUAUUUGAAAUAUACUAAGUCUUAGGUUGCAAAUGUAUUUGCUUUUAUCCUUUGGAGCCUCAGUGUUCUUCUGCAGACAGCUGGAGACUGCAGACAUUUGUGUGCACUUCUAAUAUAUUUUCAUUUUUGAUUGCAAUAUUUCAUUGCAUUUACAUUGUGUGCUCUUAAAGACUGUGUUUGUACAGGAAAUGUGUUUGCUUUGUAAAUAACUGCCUGCCUUGAUGCUGAGUAUUUCAGACAGCUUCGUAGUUAAGUUGUACCUUGAUCUUUUAAUAAUGAGCUUUGAUACAUGAAAGCUGUCUCUCGCUGCAAAAACAAGUCGUGUACAGCAUGUACUGGAUUUGUAUUUCAGGAUGAGGCAGGGAUGAGAGAUCCUUUAGAUUUCUUUCCUUUAUUUAUUUAUUUAAAUUUUUUUUCCCUCCCAUAGCUUUCUUCCAGUUGGAUUGCUUCCAUUAACUGCAUUAGGGCAGACCAUUAAACCUGCCUGUGUUCAGUCACUUCCAAGAUGUUGCACUGCAGCUCUGAUUUGCAGGCUUUCCUCUUGGAAGAUUGUGUCAUCAGUGCUGACUGUUCUCUAACAGAUACCAUGGGCAAGAUGAGAAUCUGUCCCUUCUCUUCCCUGUGAACUUGGUGUGUUCUGAACCAUCAGUGCUUGUUCAGCCCUUUUUGAACUGCUGAAACUUCACCAAAAUAACAAACUGUUAAAAUUAAACUGUUAAACCCAA
Molecule: long non-coding RNA, 7507 nt
Organism: Haemorhous mexicanus (house finch)
Lineage: Eukaryota; Metazoa; Chordata; Aves; Passeriformes; Fringillidae
Exons: 2
Source: RefSeq, a predicted model, not a curated record